Molecule: ribosomal RNA, 433 nt
Filed under: uncultured bacterium
Lineage: Bacteria
Description: partial 16S ribosomal RNA
Rfam family: Bacterial small subunit ribosomal RNA
Source: RNAcentral
AACGAACGCUGGCGGCAGGCCUAACACAUGCAAGUCGAGCGAGAUCUUCGGGUCUAGCGGCGGACGGGUGAGUAACGCGUGGGAAUAUGCCUCUUGGUACGGAAUAGCCUCGGGAAACUGGGAGUAAUACCGUAUGUGCCCUUUGGGGGAAAGAUUUAUCGCCAAGAGAUUAGCCCGCGUUGGAUUAGGUAGUUGGUGGGGUAAUGGCCUACCAAGCCGACGAUCCAUAGCUGGUUUGAGAGGAUGAUCAGCCACACUGGGACUGAGACACGGCCCAGACUCCUACGGGAGGCAGCAGUGGGGAAUCUUAGACAAUGGGGGCAACCCUGAUCGAGCCAUGCCGGGUGAGUGAUGAAGGCCUUAGGGUUGUAAAGCUCUUUAAGCUGGGAAGAUAAUGACGGUACCAGCAGAAGAAGCCCCGGCUAACUCCGUG